GACGAACGCUGGCGGCGUGCUUAACACAUGCAAGUCGAACGGAAAGGCCCUGCUUUUGUGGGGUGCUCGAGUGGCGAACGGGUGAGUAACACGUGAGUAACCUGCCCUUGACUUUGGGAUAACUUCAGGAAACUGGGGCUAAUACCGGAUAGGAGCUCCUGCUGCAUGGUGGGGGUUGGAAAGUUUCGGCGGUUGGGGAUGGACUCGCGGCUUAUCAGCUUGUUGGUGGGGUAGUGGCUUACCAAGGCUUUGACGGGGAGCCGGCCUGAGAGGGUGACCGGCCACAUUGGGACUGAGAUACGGCCCAGACUCCUACGGGAGGCAGCAGUAGGGAAUAUUGCAAAAUGGGCGGAAGCCUGAUGCAGCAACGCCGCGUGCGGGAUGACGGCCUUCGGGUUGUAAACCGCUUUCGCCUGUGACGAAGCGUGAGUGACGGUAAUGGGUAAAGAAGCACCGGCUAACUACGUG
This 468-nucleotide ribosomal RNA is filed under the name uncultured bacterium. RNAcentral describes it as "partial 16S ribosomal RNA". It matches the Rfam family "Bacterial small subunit ribosomal RNA", at positions 28 to 507 of the family's 1533-position model. The record is from RNAcentral.